This is a small nuclear RNA of Mastomys coucha (southern multimammate mouse), 107 nucleotides long. The record is from RefSeq and is a predicted model, not a curated record. Lineage: Eukaryota; Metazoa; Chordata; Mammalia; Rodentia; Muridae.
CUGCUCACUUUGGCAGCACAAAUACUAAAAUUGGAACGAUACAGAGAAGAUUAGCAUGGCCCUUGUUCAAGGGUGACACUCAAAUUUGUGAAACAUUCCAUAUUAAU